Molecule: ribosomal RNA, 459 nt
Filed under: uncultured bacterium
Lineage: Bacteria
Description: partial 16S ribosomal RNA
Rfam family: Bacterial small subunit ribosomal RNA
Source: RNAcentral
AGCGAACGCUGGCGGCAGGCCUAACACAUGCAAGUCGAACGAACCUUUCGGGGUUAGUGGCGGACGGGUGAGUAACACGUGGGAACGUGCCUUUAGGUUCGGAAUAACUCAGGGAAACUUGUGCUAAUACCGAAUGUGCCCUUCGGGGGAAAGAUUAAUCGCCUUUAGAGCGGCCCGCGUCUGAUGAGCUAGUUGGUUGAGGUAAUGGCUCACCAAGGCGACGAUCAGUAGCUGGUCUGAGAGGAUGAUCAGCCACAUUGGGACCGAGACACGGCCGAGACGGUGAGAGGAGGAAGCAAUGGGGAAUAUUACACAAGGGGCGAAAGAUGGAUCAAGAAAUACAGCGUAGGUGAUGAGAGAUUUCGGGUGGGAGAGACCUGUUAUGAGGAAAGAAAAAAAGUAGAAGAAAAUCCUCAUGUUAUGACGGUAGCAAAAGAAUAAGCAACGGCGAACUUCGUG